RNAcentral lists this ribosomal RNA (465 nucleotides) under uncultured bacterium. Its description in RNAcentral is "partial 16S ribosomal RNA". It matches the Rfam family "Bacterial small subunit ribosomal RNA", at positions 338 to 795 of the family's 1533-position model. The record is from RNAcentral.
CCUACGGGUGGCAGCAGUAGGGAAUCUUCCACAAUGGACGAAAGUCUGAUGGAGCAACGCCGCGUGAGUGAAGAAGGGUUUCGGCUCGUAAAGCUCUGUUGGUAGUGAAGAAAGAUAGAGGUAGUAACUGGCAUUUAUUUGACGGUAAUUACUUAGAAAGUCACGGCUAACUACGUGCCAGCAGCCGCGGUAAUACGGAGGGUGGGAGCGUGAAUCGGAAUUACUGGGCGUAAAGCGCUCGUAGGCGGUAUGUCAAGUCAAGGGGCAAAUCCCCGCGCUCAACGUGGGAACUGCCUUUGAAACUGGCAAACUGGAGUGUGUGAGAGGAUAGUGGAAUUCCAGGUGUAGGAGUGAAAUCCGUAGAUAUCUGGAGGAACAUCAGUGGCGAAGGCGACUAUCUGGCACAUAACUGACGCUGAGGAGCGAGAGCGUGGGUAGCAAACAGGAUUAGAUACCCCUGUAGUC